RNAcentral lists this long non-coding RNA (1244 nucleotides) under Equus caballus (horse). RNAcentral's name for it is "lncRNA (ENSECAG00000053456.1)". Lineage: Eukaryota; Metazoa; Chordata; Mammalia; Perissodactyla; Equidae. The record is from RNAcentral.
GUUAUAACAAAUGUAAUCACAAGAGGGCAUUUUCGUAGUCCAAUGGAGUUCUCUUUGGAGAAUAGACUUAGCUUUGGAAGUCAGUGGGAAGUAAGAAUAUUAGAGGUGAGUCUUAUUUAUUAUUUGGUUGCUUAGCAACUGAACCUUCUUAGAAUUGGUAAAUUCCUAUUUUCCAAAUCUCGGCUGGUUACAAAGCCUGUUACUAUCAAGGCUAAAAAUGCUUGCCCUCAUGGAAGCGGAGGCAUAGGUUCAUGGCAUUGGCUUGAGUAAUCAGGUGAUCCAAAAACCUACCAACCCCGAAUAUUGCCAAGGACAAGAAAACAAGCUCCACUUGGUCCAAAACACAAAGCAAGUAACUCUUAAGAGGUAUUGCAAGAAUGGACUGCUUUAUGGAAGAUAGAACAAGCCUCAUUCUUAAAAUCAUAGAGAAGACUCUUUGGAGAAAUACUGCUUGACUGACUCCCUUCUGAACUCCGAAUGAAAAGGCCAAUGAUUGAUUAGGCAGAACUUUCAUGAGAUUAUCUGAUCAUCUGCACAUGCAUUACAGUGCAUCACUAUAAGGCUUGCAUUGCAGAUUAGAAGUGGGAUUUUGGAACAAGGCAGGAAUAGGCUCUGAAGGGAAGGCUAAUUUGCAUGAGCAAUUGGAUCACCCUUCAGAAUGUCAAAUGUUUAUCCCUGCAUGUCUCUCGGUCCACACCUAUAAAGCAAGAAGGUCAUUGUGGCUUGAAGGGAGUAAAGCAAGAGAAGGAGGGGGAGACUUUUUAGCUGAGUCCACUGUGUCCAGUAUUUGUUCUGGCCAAGGCCUAUUAGAUGUGAUAAAUUCUCUGGAUUCAGUUAGUUUAUGAAACAGAUCAAACGUACAUUUGUUUUCAGAUAAUUUGAAAACAAAAGUCAAACAAAGAGCUGUAAUUGUUCAACUCCUUAGCUAAUCUCUGGGCCUUCAAACCUACAUUAACGAUGAGAAGCCUGCUUAAUUAGUACCAUCUCCCAAAUGAGACAUCCUUUCCAAUUCUCCUCUCUAUGGCCGUGAAGGACAGUGGACCAGGGAAGUCUUCCUGAGAGCAGACCUGGGGCAGGCUGACUGGCUAAACAAAUGAAUUAUUCCACUACCAAGAGGAAGAAAGGAAAAGUUUUUAUUCGUGCUUGAUUCUCUUUGCACUGCUGCUGGAGUGGUGGUGGCAUGGAGUAAGAGAUCCCCAGGGAGACAUUCAGGAAUCGAUGAUCAAGGUCAUGUGGACCAGGAG